AGCUGACCUAGAAGGAAAAAUCAACAGGAGAAUUAAGGGAAUGCUGGAAGUGCCCUAGAGACUCAGCCAGCUGACAAAACACUUCAAAAGGCCUGCAACACAGAAGAAAGUCGGGACUCAACUUGGUAAGCAGAGGAAGAUUGCGAUGACACCAACCUUUUAGUGGGAGGAAUGAAUCUCAGAAGAAGAAAUUCAGCUGGUAUAUAAAAUCUGGAGCUGUUUUCACAAAACUGUCUGGAUUUUUGCGUUAUCCCCACUUCAGCUCCCUGGCUGGAAAGCUACCAGCUGGAAAAGCAGCGGCCUCCAUCCUUCCAGGACUCUGAAUACCCUCAGUUAACAACAAACUUUAAGAAUUUAACCUCUCUUUCCCUGUUAGUCAGGUGGUUGUCCUAACAAAAACCAGCUACAGCUGUAGGUAGGUUUUUUUCUGACCCUGUUAAGGGCCAGAAUACAUUCAGCUGUUCAAUUCUCAAGUACUAUCUGCUUUCAAACAAGAGCUUCAAAGACCGAUUUGAAUCAAAACCUCAAAGCCAGGAAGGAAUCUCGUUCUGUUUUGCUAAUACAAAUCACACCAGUAAACUAAACAGCGUUUUCCAGGCUCCUUUGUAUCAUCUCAAAGGAGGAGAUUGGCCAAAGAAGUGUCAAACACCAGAAAUUUUCAGGAGGCGACAGAUUUGUUUGGAUUGUGCCAAAUCCAAACGAGAUUAUCAAGUCUACCAUGCAAAAAAAUGAAAUAAAAUAAAAUAAAGAAGAGCAUGCAUCUUUCACAUCUGAUGAAGCUUUCACCCCAAAUCAAAGGGCAUAUCCUGCUCGAGGCAAGUCAUUGUGGCCCCAAAUUAAGUCCCAACAGGGUGCCAGGCUCCACAGGACCACAAUCCACGUCCUACAACUCAUCUCAUCGCAUCUCAAACCUUGAUCCGGAGCAGAGGUGCUUUAGAGCACACGGGCUGUGAGUACCUCGCUUUAGACAUAAAAACCUCUGAAAUUUUUCCAGUUCACAAGCACAUAAAGCCUGGAAGCAUAAAAAAUGCGCAGGGAAGCUUCAAGUCACCCAGUAAACGCAAAGUGUAUGUUUCUACUUACUCAUCCAAUUCCUGACAUUUAAGAAGCUCUGUUGACUGGUGAGAUCAAACAUCAGUAAAAAGCCCAUAGCAUCUCUGAAAAACGCUGUGGUGAGGCUUCGAAAUCUGAAGGAGGAAGAAAAAAAAAGAAAAAGAGAAAAAGAGAGCACAGCUCUGUUACAAAGUGAGCUCUACGAUUCGAGGACAGAGACGGAGAGGGAGAAGAGCUGGCCUGCAAAGCCAUGGGGCUGGAUGAAAGCACCGACCACAAAACUACAGCUGUUUGUCACCCAAAGGUCACAGCCAAAAAUUAGCCUCAAAAUGUUUAACUUUUACUACAUAAAUGGUGUUUGGGGGUAAGCAGGAGAGAUACAACCAAAAUUUGGGCUGUUUUCUGCUUUUCCCAUGGCAGUAACCCCUCCCACACAGUGCUGGCACCGCUUAUUUAGAAACCUGAAAUCUGCCUCAUCCCUACACUCGGCUUCCUCUGCUUCUUCCCUCGUCAACAGAUGAUAGCAGCAAUCGUGCUGAGGGCAACCUCGCACACAAAACCAUGAAAGAAGAGGUUUCUUCCAUACCAGUCAGCAUGGGUAAGGCUUGAGUUAGGACUCUCCACCCUAAAUAAAGUGUCAGAAAAAGCUUCGUUCCUGGAAAAUACUUUUCUUGUCCCGAAUUAGGAGGAUUUUUGAGAUUCUUCACAUAAAGGGACUAACGGUUUACCCACAAACGUGGAAAAGCUCAGACUGGACUCUCACCUUUCCUGUCCAGCGGUGUCCCAAAGCUGGAGGUGCACCUUGAAGGCUUUUCCUGGAGAUCCAUUUGCUCCUCUGCUAUUGUACACCUAACAAGAGAGAGCAAUCAGUAAACGCAUGACUCUUUUGGCUCGUGGCGCCCAAAGAAAGCACCGUGACCUUUUUUCUGCUCAAUUCCUCCUUGAACAAAAGCAACAUGUACACGAACUGUUACAGUAAAAGACAGGAGGAAAAAAAAAAACACAAAUAGGAACCAUUUUUGCUCUCUGAGCUUGCUCAGCAGACUCUUAGCGACUUUAAAAGCAGGGAAAUGUUGUCCCUGAAUUGCCGAGAAGAACCAGCAGAUCGACCACACACCACGCUUUGUGAGUUAAGUAAGUGAAUAAAUAAAUAAAAAUAAAUAACUGAAGCAUGCUCCUGCAAUACCCAGUGCUGUAAGCAGGGAAUUUCACGGGCUCAAUUUUUUUAAUAUGACUUCUUUGCAACAGAAUUGAACCUUUUGGAGCUCCUUCUUAAAAGGCCAUCUUAUUCAGACGGACUUUCCAGAUGUUUUAAAGCUUUUAAUUGCAUGUAAGGCACAGUUUCGUCCAUCCUUAUCAGCGAUCUCACCCCCAAAACGUACGCCAGUGGAAAAUUACCGAAGAAAUCCGCCCGCAACCCUUAGCAGAAAAGUUCAGCCCCCUGGAAGGAAGCCAGCACCCGUCUUCAAAACACGCUAACAAGCGUCUCGACGAGGCAGGGAACGAGCACUCCGGCGAGCUGCGUGUUCAGACGUCUCCUUGCAAGAAAACUGCUUUUCAUAUUUUCCUCUCGCUCCACCAGGGGAACCCAGCGGUGCGGUGGAGGAUCCGGGUUCCCCUGGUUCCCCUCCGACCUGUGCGUCGUGCUUAACCGGUCUGAACUGCUGGAGCCCUGAUUAGGGUUAAUUUAAGAUGUAAUCCAUUUUAUUCCACCUCAGGCCUAAUGAUUAAGUCUCCAGUGCUGCUGAUUUACAAGAGUUCCCUACUAAUUGCCUGGUUCCCCACGGACCUGAAUACACCUAGCGUGUCCCGACCACACCAUAAACCCGUGGGCUCCUAUGGCUCAAGCAAGGGACUGAAAAAUGUGUGAUUUACCCCUAAAAUCCACGCAGGGCAGGGGACCAAGAAAUGUAUGAUUUAGCCCUAAAACCCAUACGGGGCCAUCUCUUCAGUGGGGCUGGCACGUAGCCUUCACGAUGGCACCACCGAACUCAACACCACAGCCAUAAAUGCUCUCAGCCAUUAAAAAAAGUUAUUAAAAAGGAAAAGCUGCCCGGAUCUGCCCCUCUCCAGGCUGAAAAGCUCUCCACAAGCAGUGGUUUUUCUGCCCCUUUAGCAUCUCGGCAUUGUCAAGACUUCCAAGGACUUUUCAUGCAAAAUCCUUCAAGUAUUUAAAUU
Non-coding RNA from Anas platyrhynchos (mallard), 3231 nucleotides. Lineage: Eukaryota; Metazoa; Chordata; Aves; Anseriformes; Anatidae. The record is from RefSeq and is a predicted model, not a curated record.